RNAcentral lists this transfer RNA (72 nucleotides) under Ovis aries (sheep). It matches the Rfam family "tRNA". From Rfam's summary of the family: Transfer RNA (tRNA) molecules are approximately 80 nucleotides in length. Their secondary structure includes four short double-helical elements and three loops (D, anti-codon, and T loops). Lineage: Eukaryota; Metazoa; Chordata; Mammalia; Artiodactyla; Bovidae. The record is from Rfam by way of RNAcentral.
UCCCUGGUGGCUAAAAUGGUAAAGAAUCUGCCUGCAAGGUGGGAGACCCAGGUUCAAUUCCUGGGUUGGGAA